RNAcentral lists this ribosomal RNA (317 nucleotides) under uncultured bacterium. Its description in RNAcentral is "bacterial SSU rRNA". It matches the Rfam family "Bacterial small subunit ribosomal RNA", at positions 8 to 334 of the family's 1533-position model. The record is from RNAcentral.
AGAGUUUGAUUCUGGCUCAGGAUGAACGCUGGCGGCGUGCCUAACACAUGCAAGUCGAGCGAUUCUCUUCGGAGAAGAGCGGCGGACGGGUGAGUAACGCGUGGGUAACCUGCCCUGUACACACGGAUAACAUACCGAAAGGUAUGCUAAUACGGGAUAACAUAAGAAAUUCGCAUGUUUUUCUUAUCAAAGCUCCGGCGGUACAGGAUGGACCCGCGUCUGAUUAGCUAGUUGGUGAGGUAACGGCUCACCAAGGCGACGAUCAGUAGCCGACCUGAGAGGGUGAUCGGCCACAUUGGAACUGAGACACGGUCCAA